CAGAGAACACUAUUUAUACACAUGACAGGAAGAGGGGAUGACAAGACACACCUGGGAGCAAUAGAAACCACAUAAGAAACACCUUGGACACAUUAACUGAAAACACGGGAGACAGAAACUGGAUCACAGAGCACAAUACAUGGGACAGAGUCUGACAGAAACCUUGUUAGUGAUAUAGAGGCAGUGUUUAACCACACUAUUAUGUCAUAUUCCAAAACCUGUCUUUUUGGCAGACUGGCUUCAAUAUAAGCUGUUUUUAGACUAAUGAGAAAGUUUUGAGUUCUAAAACUACAUAAUGUUUUUAUAGCACAAUGACCAUUUAUAACAUGAUUCAUUGGACCAGGCAACCUUCUUCCAUUGCUCCAUGGUCCAGUUCUGAUGCUCACAUCGCCAUUGAGACUUUCAGACAACUCUUCUUUUUCUUUUACUACAAAAACUUUGAAUUGUUAAGCUUUGGUCAUUAAAGAGUUUUAGGAUGACUAGCGUUCUAUGGCAGAACACAGCCAGUCAUGUGUGCAUGAAGAAAUCAAACAAAGAUAAGAGCUUGUCGCAUAAGCUCAACAGCCUCCAUUCAGCUGUUGAGAAAGAGCCACGAUGAACUUACAAUGGCACCUCAGCUUUGCCUUAAUGUGCUUGUAUGUGUGGGGUGGGAUAUUUCAGCCGGAUCACCUCACUGAAAAGUGGAACAAUUGUGAAGGACACUUUAACAAGGGAUGGACCCAUCUUCGACCACUUCUUAAAAAAGCUUCUGUGGACUUAUUUUGUAGAUGUAAUGAAAAGAAAUGUAUUUCCAUUGCUAUUUUUCCAACCUUAAAAUAUGUGCCAGUUUUUUGGGCAUAUAAAAUAAGACAUACUGGAGUCCCUGAUUUGUCAGAGCAUGAUCUCUUGAAGAAUAUCACAACUUGGUACAUAUCACCAUCGGUUGUUGAGGAUAUGCUCAGAGGAAAGUUGCAUUCAUUCCCUCCUCAAGUGACCUCGAGACCCUCCCCAUCAACAACACAUAUUUUAAGUGGUGUGUUUCAUCUCAGUGAGAAAUACAUUCACAAAGAGGGAAACUGGCACUACACAGGCUACAUUCGCUGGACCAUGUAUCACCACACAAAUGUUAAAGGGCUAAGUUUUGAAGGAGCUCUUGUCCAAAACAGUCAGGAGAAAUGUAAGUGGAAAUGGCUGACAGUGAAGCAACUUGUCGGGAUUCUUUCUAAAGUCUUUUUGGCCAACCCCAUGCAAACCUUCUUCAAUCAUCAAAUCACAGGACCUUUAAACCUGAACGGCUUAGAUGAAUUUCCAGACAGCUUUUCCGUAGGGGAAAAGAUAGAGGACCUCCUAGACACCGCAAUGCCAUGUGUGACGACAACAACAAUGGAAGUCAAAGAAGCAGAACGUGACUUUUCCAAAUUCACAACAAGCAGCAACCCCCCCCUAACUUCAGAUAUGAUUGCAGGCCUGUGCUCUGUGCUCAUUCACCGUACUAGCACUGGUUUGAAGAGAUGCCUUAAGAGGAUGAUAGAAAAAGAAAACUACACCACUACUCUUUAACGCUCUCGUAUUUCUCUGCUAGCAACAAACCAUGUAAUGCCAGAUCGGAAAUCCAAAAACAGAGCCCUCUUAAACUAAAUGAAAUCAUUAAUCACAGUAAAAAUACAUCACAUAUUAGAGGCAAAACAUUUUAUAGUGAAGGACAGUUUCACCAAAAGAAACUUUCUGAAAAUAUUUUUGCUCUGUUCAAUUCUGUAUUUAUUUACAGUAGCCUAUAUUAUUUAUUUGACCAGUUGCUUAUAUGAAAGCCAUUUGGUAAAUGUUUUUAAUUUUGCCUUGCUUAUAAAUCAGUGUUCAUUGCCUUGUAAAUAAAUAUAUCUAAACAUCCUUAAAACACUAUACAUUUUCUUAACAAGCAAAGCUGUCUCUUGUUCUCUUUAAAUAAUUCUUUCGUCAAUCAUAAAUAGUUAUUCUAAUGAAAAAAAAAAACCCCAUCACAUUACAAAAUUAAAAUGGGUUGUUGUUGCCGUUUCAUGUUGACUUUAACAUUUAAUAAUGAUUGAGGAUCAUUUUCACAGCAGUUAUAUUGAAAAUGAUGCUCCUUUUAGUUCAUUAGAAUUAAUUAUGGGUGUGUGUCGAUUCUAGUUCUGCUUAGUUUGCAUGACCUACAAUAAAUUUCCAUAUUAAAAUAAGCUGGAACUGUAAUUCUGAGGUGUGUGUUGAUAUGGGUAAAAUUAUAGCCACCAGUUGCAGUGUAGUGAAUGCCUUGUGUCUUAUCAUAUGUAUAUAGUAAAACCCAGAGACUCAGAUAAAACAAUGAUAAGCACACGGUGUGACCUUCCUGUAUAAUGUCCUGAAGCAGCAAACGAAAUGUUGCUGGAGCCUAUGGCGUGAUGAGGUUAUGGUGGUUGUCAUUGUCUCUCCUUACUGUAGUUCCUAUGCAUUUGCAACUGCAGAAAACAUUUAGGACUCCAGAUAGUACUCCAUGUCAAGAAAUACUGUGCCAGGACUGGCCUUUCCUUCAGUCUGUUCUUAGAAAACAUGGCUACAUGUGCAGAUGCUUUAUAGUAAAGUGUGUCUACAUUGCAGAAGUGCGCAGGAUCAAACAUAUGCCAUGCAAUUGGGUUUACAGAGGACAUCAUAAAGAGAAAAUACAGACUGCAGUUUUACCACCAAAGGUAAGCUAUAAUGGUUUACAAGAAUUAAAAUAGCAAUUUAGUAUAAUAUUUAUUUGAUGCAAUGAGAAGAUUAAAUAGUCUCAAUUUUGGUUACAUUUUAAAAUAUUGUUUUUAUUUAUAUAUUUUUUGUUAUUGUCUGCAAGAAAACAGUAAUAAGGAAAGAUUCAGCAUUUAGCUGAAAUACUGAUUAUAUUACAUGCUAUAUUUUAUUAUUCUAAACACAAGGAAAAUUCAAUUGAAAUCACAUAAACAGUACAGAAGAAAACAAAAUACAUAAAAUCCCAGUAAUUACACACCAUCUAUUAACAAGAGAUUGAAAUCAGUAUUUGUUUUGUGUUUACGAAAGUUUUUUUUUUUUUUAGUGCUGCACUAAUACCAUUGAGAAAAAAAAGACCCAAACUCUCACUGUAUUUUCUUGACAGCUUAUUA
Molecule: long non-coding RNA, 3086 nt
Organism: Cyprinus carpio carpio
Lineage: Eukaryota; Metazoa; Chordata; Actinopteri; Cypriniformes; Cyprinidae
Source: Ensembl